RNAcentral lists this ribosomal RNA (477 nucleotides) under uncultured bacterium. RNAcentral describes it as "partial 16S ribosomal RNA". It matches the Rfam family "Bacterial small subunit ribosomal RNA", at positions 29 to 507 of the family's 1533-position model. The record is from RNAcentral.
AUUGAACGCUGGCGGCAUGCCUUACACAUGCAAGUCGAACGGUAACAGGUUAAGCUGACGAGUGGCGAACGGGUGAGUAAUGUAUCGGAACGUGCCCAGUCGUGGGGGAUAACUGCUCGAAAGAGCAGCUAAUACCGCAUACGACCUGAGGGGGAAAGCGGGGGAUCGCAAGACCUCGCGCGAUUGGAGCGGCCGAUAUCAGAUUAGGUAGUUGGUGAGGUAAAGGCUCACCAAGCCGACGAUCUGUAGCUGGUCUGAGAGGACGACCGGCCACACGGGAACUGAGACACGGCCCAGACUCCUACGGGAGGCAGCAGUGGGGAAUUUUGGGCAAUGGGCGCAAGCCUGAUCCAGCCAUGCCGCGUGCGGGAAGAAGGCCUUCGGGUUGUAAACCGCUUUUGUCAGGGAAGAAAAGGUUCUGGCUAAUACCUGGGACUCAUGACGGUACCUGAAGAAUAAGCACCGGCUAACUACGUG